This 254-nucleotide ribosomal RNA is filed under the name uncultured bacterium. Its description in RNAcentral is "partial 16S ribosomal RNA". It matches the Rfam family "Bacterial small subunit ribosomal RNA", at positions 524 to 776 of the family's 1533-position model. The record is from RNAcentral.
UACGGAGGGUGCGAGCGUUGUCCGGAAUCACUGGGCGUAAAGGGCGCGUAGGCGGCCUGAUAAGUAGGGGGUGAAAUCCUGCGGCUUAACCGCAGGGCUGCCUUCUAAACUGUCAGGCUUGAGCACAGUAGAGGCAGGUGGAAUUCCCGGUGUAGCGGUGGAAUGCGUAGAGAUCGGGAAGAACAUCAGUGGCGAAGGCGGCCUGCUGGGCUGUUGCUGACGCUGAGGCGCGACAGCGUGGGGGAGCAAACAGG